GGAUGCGUAGCUCAGCGGCAGAGCACCGCCCUCAUAAGGCGGGGCGCACUGGUUCAAGUCCAGUCGCAUCUACCA
This 75-nucleotide transfer RNA is filed under the name Sideroxydans sp. RNAcentral describes it as "tRNA-Met". It matches the Rfam family "tRNA". Rfam says of the family: Transfer RNA (tRNA) molecules are approximately 80 nucleotides in length. Their secondary structure includes four short double-helical elements and three loops (D, anti-codon, and T loops). Further hydrogen bonds mediate the characteristic L-shaped molecular structure. tRNAs have two regions of fundamental functional importance: the anti-codon, which is responsible for specific mRNA codon recognition, and the 3' end, to which the tRNAs corresponding amino acid is attached (by aminoacyl-tRNA synthetases). tRNAs cope with the degeneracy of the genetic code in two manners: having more than one tRNA (with a specific anti-codon) for a particular amino acid; and 'wobble' base-pairing, i.e. permitting non-standard base-pairing at the 3rd anti-codon position. The record is from RNAcentral. RNAcentral also lists the same sequence under 1 other name. Lineage: Bacteria; Pseudomonadati; Pseudomonadota; Betaproteobacteria; Nitrosomonadales; Gallionellaceae.